GACGAACGCUGGCGGCGUGCUUAACACAUGCAAGUCGAACGGAAAGGCCCUGCUUUCGUGGGGUUCUCGAGUGGCGAACGGGUGAGUAACACGUGAGUAUCCUGCCCUUGACUUUGGGAUAACUUCAGGAAACUGGGGCUAAUACCGGAUAGGAGCUCCCGUUGCAUGGUGGGCGUUGGAAAGUUUCGGCGGUUGGGGAUGGACUCGCGGCUUAUCAGCUUGUUGGUGGGGUAGUGGCUUACCAAGGCUUUGACGGGUAGCCGGCCUGAGAGGGUGACCGGCCACAUUGGGACUGAGAUACGGCCCAGACUCCUACGGGAGGCAGCAGUGGGGAAUAUUGCACAAUGGGCGGAAGCCUGAUGCAGCAACGCCGCGUGCGGGAUGACGGCCUUCGGGUUGUAAACCGCUUUCGCCUGUGACGAAGCGUGAGUGACGGUAAUGGGUAAAGAAGCACCGGCUAACUACGUG
This 468-nucleotide ribosomal RNA is filed under the name uncultured bacterium. RNAcentral's name for it is "partial 16S ribosomal RNA". It matches the Rfam family "Bacterial small subunit ribosomal RNA", at positions 28 to 507 of the family's 1533-position model. The record is from RNAcentral.